RNAcentral lists this non-coding RNA (140 nucleotides) under Caldicellulosiruptor saccharolyticus. RNAcentral's name for it is "SAM-I sequence". It matches the Rfam family "SAM riboswitch aptamer (S box leader)". Rfam says of the family: The SAM riboswitch is found upstream of a number of genes which code for proteins involved in methionine or cysteine biosynthesis in Gram-positive bacteria. The SAM riboswitch acts at the level of transcription termination control. The predicted structure consists of a complex stem-loop region followed by a single stem loop terminator region. Lineage: Bacteria; Bacillati; Bacillota; Caldicellulosiruptorales; Caldicellulosiruptoraceae. The record is from RNAcentral.
UCCUUAUCAAGAGAGGUGGAGGGAAAAAGGCCCGAUGAAGCCCGGCAACCGGCAAGGCUUUUUUAAAGCUUUGCAAUGGUGCCAACUCCGUCAGAAAGCUUAAAAAGUUUAUAUAUUUUAAGCUUUCUGAGAGAUGAGGA